RNAcentral lists this ribosomal RNA (245 nucleotides) under uncultured Bacillota bacterium. RNAcentral describes it as "uncultured Firmicutes bacterium partial 16S ribosomal RNA". It matches the Rfam family "Bacterial small subunit ribosomal RNA", at positions 524 to 768 of the family's 1533-position model. The record is from RNAcentral. Lineage: Bacteria; Bacillati; Bacillota.
UACGUAGGGGGCGAGCGUUGUCCGGAAUGACUGGGCGUAAAGGGCGCGUAGGCGGUCUGGUAAGUUAGGAGUGAAAAUCCAUAUUUCAAGUAUGGACCUGCUUUUAAUACUGUCGGACUGGAGUGCAGAAGAGGUAAGCGGAAUUCCCAGUGUAGCGGUGAAAUGCGUAGAGAUUGGGAAGAACACCAGUGGCGAAGGCGGCUUACUGGGCUGUAACUGACGCUGAGGCGCGAAAGCGUGGGGAG